Molecule: ribosomal RNA, 433 nt
Filed under: uncultured bacterium
Lineage: Bacteria
Description: bacterial SSU rRNA
Rfam family: Bacterial small subunit ribosomal RNA
Source: RNAcentral
AUGAACGCUGGCGGCAGGCCUAACACAUGCAAGUCGAACGGGUGCCUUCGGGUGCUAGUGGCGGACGGGUGAGUAACGCGUGGGAACAUACCCUUUGGUACGGAAUAGCCUCGGGAAACUGAGAGUAAUACCGUAUGUGCCCUUCGGGGGAAAGAUUUAUCGCCAAAGGAUUGGCCCGCGUUGGAUUAGGUAGUUGGUGGGGUAAUGGCCUACCAAGCCGACGAUCCAUAGCUGGUUUGAGAGGAUGAUCAGCCACACUGGGACUGAGACACGGCCCAGACUCCUACGGGAGGCAGCAGUGGGGAAUCUUAGACAAUGGGGGAAACCCUGAUCUAGCCAUGCCGCGUGAUCGAUGAAGGCCUUAGGGUUGUAAAGAUCUUUCAGAUGGGAAGAUAAUGACGGUACCAUCAGAAGAAGCCCCGGCUAACUCCGU